AACUUUAACUGAUUGCUGAGUUCUAGAUAUGAAGACAAUCAGGAAAAAGAUUUGGUUUUCUUGAUUGUCUUCAUAUCUAGAACUGGGCAAUCAGUUAAAGGAGUAGGCU
Molecule: microRNA precursor, 109 nt
Filed under: Chlorocebus sabaeus (green monkey)
Lineage: Eukaryota; Metazoa; Chordata; Mammalia; Primates; Cercopithecidae
Description: miRNA (ENSCSAG00000025880.1)
Source: RNAcentral